UACGGAGGAGGCAAGCGUUAUCCGGAAUUAUUGGGCGUAAAGCGUCCGUAGGUGGCUAUUCAAGUCUGCGGUCAAAGCCAGGAGCUUAACUCCUGACGGGCCGUGGAAACUGAAAAGCUAGAGGGCAGUAGGGGUAGAGGGAAUUCCCGGUGUAGCGGUGAAAUGCGUAGAGAUCGGGAAGAACAUCGGUGGCGAAAGCGCUCUACUGGAGUGUACCUGACACUGAGGGACGAAAGCUAGGGGAGCGAAUGGG
This 253-nucleotide ribosomal RNA is filed under the name uncultured bacterium. RNAcentral describes it as "partial 16S ribosomal RNA". It matches the Rfam family "Bacterial small subunit ribosomal RNA", at positions 524 to 776 of the family's 1533-position model. The record is from RNAcentral.